GAUCAUGGCUCAGGAUGAACGCUAGCUACAGGCUUAACACAUGCAAGUCGAGGGGCAGCAUUGGAGUAGCAAUACUCAGAUGGCGACCGGCGCACGGGUGAGUAACACGUAUCCAACCUGCCGCUUACUCGGGGAUAGCCUUUCGAAAGAAAGAUUAAUACCCGAUGGUAUAAAGAGUUCGCAUGUUCUCUUUAUUAAAGAAUUUCGGUAAGCGAUGGGGAUGCGUUCCAUUAGAUAGUUGGCGGGGUAACGGCCCACCAAGUCUACGAUGGAUAGGGGUUCUGAGAGGAAGGUCCCCCACAUUGGAACUGAGACACGGUCCAAACUCCUACGGGAGGCAGCAGUGAGGAAUAUUGGUCAAUGGACGAGAGUCUGAACCAGCCAAAAGUAGCGUGAAGGAUGACUGCCCUAUGGGUUGUAAACUUCUUUUAUAAGGGAAUAAAGUGAGGGACGUGUCCUUUUUGUAUGUACCGUAUGAAUAAGGAUCGGCUAACUCCGUGCCAGCCGCCGC
This 511-nucleotide ribosomal RNA is filed under the name uncultured bacterium. RNAcentral's name for it is "bacterial SSU rRNA". It matches the Rfam family "Bacterial small subunit ribosomal RNA", at positions 15 to 518 of the family's 1533-position model. The record is from RNAcentral.